Acanthosepion pharaonis is the source of this 114-nucleotide non-coding RNA. The record is from the annotation of a GenBank genome assembly. NCBI's taxonomy places the organism in Eukaryota, Metazoa, Mollusca, Cephalopoda, Sepiida, Sepiidae.
UUACGGCCAUAUCACGUUGAAACACCGGUUCUCGUAUAUUCGCCGAAGUUAAGCCACAUCAAGCCUGUUCAAUACUUUGAUGGGUGACCGCUUGGGAAUUUCAAAUGCUGUAAG